UCUCUGUCAAAGGGGCCACGAGCGCGGUCACCGCCAACCCGGCAGCUUCUUUGUGAAGUGUGUGUUGAUUCGAACUGACAGUGCAACUUCUCGUGCCGUCACACAUUUAGAAACCAUCAGGAGGAGACGGCAUUAACAGACUGACCGGGAGAGGAGGAUUAUAAAACCAGAGUUGUGAUGGAAGCCACUGGGGGAGGGGCUUCACAUUAUCAUGCAAGACAAGUGAAGGUAGUAAAACUGCACCCGGAGCAGUGCGAGUGAAGAAAGGAGGUCAAGCCUUACCUCCAGUCCAUCUUCUCCACCAGUGAAAGAGGUUUGGCUGGCGACGCUAAUGAGGAUUAAAUGAACACUCGUCACAGGAUGGGGACCACAUUCACCAGCCCAACUGUGUGAUUUGGAUACGAGUACCACAAAGCCUAAUCCCCAGCUGGACAAAGACCGGACACUGCCGAGAUGACAUUCACACAUUCUGCUCUGAUGUUGGAGCAAUGUGUUUAAAGGCCAGGCAGUCAGGAGGUAGGUAAGACCUACAGAGCAGAUCUGGACAGGGUAAUAAGACGCCAUGGGGAAGAAUAAGAGAGCACCCUGCUGUCAAUACUGUGGAAGUGCAGCUUCUAUAUCCAUGUGUCCAUGAUUGGAAUUUACUAGUCUGCAAUUAAGCAUAAUGUAAACGCAGAAUGUUGUUCCUAAAUGACUUUUUCACACUUAAAAGAAAGUAAGAGGAAGCUGCUAAAGAGAAAAAAAGGUGAGAAAACUCAUUAUUUAAAAAGGUAGAAGUAAGAUAUUGGUCAGGUAAUCAAACAAAGAAGCAGGAAAAUUGACGAAAAGCAAAACGAAGUUGAAGAACAACCUAAAGCAAAAGCAAUAACAAGGACAAAUGGAGCUUCAAGUUAACGCAGAAACGCUGUAGGUCGGGCUAGCAACAACUGGCAAAGACAUGAAAGAGCAUCAGCUUUCCACAUUUAAGGAAAGACUUAUAACAGAGGGAUGAAGAAAGAAAUACCAUAAUCUCCGACAACAAAAAGUUGCAAAAACAAAACGGAUACAAAAUGUUUGGAAAAGGGCAAACACUUAAUACCUGACAGGUGAUUGAAUGAUACAUCAGUGAAGGCCUUUUAAACCAAACAUAUUUACUCCGGAGUUCGGCUUAGUGCCUACUGAUGUCCUUUCACCUCAACAUCACCUACACAGUGGGGGAGGAGUGUUUUUUCUCAUGUGAAACUCCCACACAAACAAACAACUUAACUUGCACAACAGUAUUUUGUUUUCAGUUUUUUAAGGAUGUGGAUUAGAGAGCCAUGUGUUUUUGGAAAUGUGCAGAGGCCACUUGCAAUGUGACGCAACUUUCGGAUGGCCAUUUAACCUGCUGUGUUUUUUUUAUAGAUUAAUUCUGUGACCAUCAGCUGAGGACUGCGAGACCAGCGUUACUAUAUUAAUAUUAAAAUUCAUUUUAUGGAAAGAAAUGCUUGAACGUAAAAUAAAACAACCUGACAACCA
Long non-coding RNA from Eleginops maclovinus (Patagonian blennie), 1497 nucleotides. RefSeq lists it as uncharacterized. The transcript is spliced from 2 exons. Lineage: Eukaryota; Metazoa; Chordata; Actinopteri; Perciformes; Eleginopidae. The record is from RefSeq and is a predicted model, not a curated record.